Molecule: transfer RNA, 73 nt
Filed under: Methanocorpusculum parvum
Lineage: Archaea; Methanobacteriati; Methanobacteriota; Methanomicrobia; Methanomicrobiales; Methanocorpusculaceae
Also listed under: 1 other name
Description: tRNA-Gln
Rfam family: tRNA
About the family: Transfer RNA (tRNA) molecules are approximately 80 nucleotides in length. Their secondary structure includes four short double-helical elements and three loops (D, anti-codon, and T loops). Further hydrogen bonds mediate the characteristic L-shaped molecular structure. tRNAs have two regions of fundamental functional importance: the anti-codon, which is responsible for specific mRNA codon recognition, and the 3' end, to which the tRNAs corresponding amino acid is attached (by aminoacyl-tRNA synthetases). tRNAs cope with the degeneracy of the genetic code in two manners: having more than one tRNA (with a specific anti-codon) for a particular amino acid; and 'wobble' base-pairing, i.e. permitting non-standard base-pairing at the 3rd anti-codon position.
Source: RNAcentral
ACUCCUAUAGUGUAGUGGUCAAUCAUUCCGGCCUUUGGAGCCGGAGACGGCGGUUCGAACCCGCCUAGGAGUA